UGCAGAUGAAUCCACUCCAGCUUUUCCGUCUCGCAGCUGCUCGCUGUGAAAUUCAAUUAAUGACUCCGCUUCCCAGUUCUCUCUCCAGGGCACAUCUUCCGGCCCGCUCGCCCUCUGCUAGAAAUAGGAAAAUGCUAUAAUAACACAACACAAGAAAAAAAAAACACAGAGGCAACUUUGAUCACGCAUGCUCCCUUGGCGUCCAGCUCUUUUUUCCCCCACCACAUCAUUUCUCCUAAGUUGGAAAGUCAAGGAAAAGCCCGAGCGAAGUGUUGGCCACAGUUAAACCAAUCAUUCGGGGAAAGCCAUCUCAUAUUUAAAAUGCCUGUGGUAUCAAGGUGAAGAUUGAUUGGCUACAGCGCUCACAAACAAGUGACGAGGAUUCGACUGGACAUUUGUGAAAUUCUGGGACAGAAAGCGUUUCUCGUGUGUCCAUGUGGUGGGCAAGGGGAGACGUGCCCUCCAGCCCUUUGAAACACGAGGCUUCAGAGAUAACAUUUCACACCCAAUAGCGGUGCCCAACCAUGCAGCCCACAUGAAAUAAGCCCUCGGCCUUUAGUUUUGGCUUUCAUUUUUUUUUCAGGCUGUUGACAGCCGUUUCAGAAUGUGCUGGAAAAUGCAUCUGAAACCGCACACUGCUGUAAACAUAUCUGAAACAACCCACUCCUAUGACAGUCCCUGUCUUUGGGUACACUGCAGAUACAUGCAAAAGAGAUCAGACAAAAAAAAAAACAAAAACAACAAAAAAAACAGAGAAAGAGAGAGAGAGAGAUAAUAAAAACAUCAAUGUCUGCUAAUUGGCCGGGUGCACAGUAACUUACUGUAACUGGAAUUUAACUUCUGGCUCUGUCUUCGGUUUGAAGAGCAAUUUCCUUGACAUGACUUGCGCUGUUUCAUGGCCUUGCCUUUGCCUGUGUAUCACAUAAUUCUACCAGCAACUACGCACAAACUAAAUUUCAUAGAAAGCCUUCAAAAAUACACUUUAAAAUACGAAGUUGUGCAGUUUACAUUGUAAUCAAUUCAUUAAUAACAAGUUGGUGUAUCGGAAUUUAGUGCUCGACUCAACUCUUUAAACAUCCAGCAAG
Molecule: long non-coding RNA, 1085 nt
Organism: Ictalurus punctatus (channel catfish)
Lineage: Eukaryota; Metazoa; Chordata; Actinopteri; Siluriformes; Ictaluridae
Source: Ensembl